GACGAACGCUGGCGGCGUGCUUAACACAUGCAAGUCGAACGGAAAGGCCCUGCUUUUGUGGGGUGCUCGAGUGGCGAACGGGUGAGUAACACGUGAGUAACCUGCCCUUGACUUUGGGAUAACUUCAGGAAACUGGGGCUAAUACCGGAUAGGAGCUCCUGCUGCAUGGUGGGGGUUGGAAAGUUUCGGCGGUUGGGGAUUGACUCGCGGCUUAUCAGCUUGUUGGUGGGGUAGUGGCUUACCAAGGCUUUGACGGGUAGCCGGCCUGAGAGGGUGACCGGCCACAUUGGGACUGAGUAACGGCCCAGACUCCUACGGGAGGCAACAGUGGGGAAUAUUGCACAAUGGGCGGAAGACUGAUGCAGCAACGCCGCGUGCGGGAUAACGGCCUUCGGGUUGUAAACCGCUUUCGCCUGUGACGAAGCGUGAGUGACGGUAAUGGGUAAAGAAGCACCGGCUAACUACGUG
Molecule: ribosomal RNA, 468 nt
Filed under: uncultured bacterium
Lineage: Bacteria
Description: partial 16S ribosomal RNA
Rfam family: Bacterial small subunit ribosomal RNA
Source: RNAcentral